RNAcentral lists this transfer RNA (90 nucleotides) under Rickettsiaceae bacterium. RNAcentral's name for it is "tRNA-Ser". It matches the Rfam family "tRNA". From Rfam's summary of the family: Transfer RNA (tRNA) molecules are approximately 80 nucleotides in length. Their secondary structure includes four short double-helical elements and three loops (D, anti-codon, and T loops). The record is from RNAcentral. Lineage: Bacteria; Pseudomonadati; Pseudomonadota; Alphaproteobacteria; Rickettsiales; Rickettsiaceae.
GGAGAGGUGGCCGAGUGGUUUAAGGCGCCCGCCUGGAAAGCGUGUUCACGAGCAAUCGUGUCGAGGGUUCAAAUCCCUUCCUCUCCUCCA